This 74-nucleotide transfer RNA is filed under the name Rhodospirillaceae bacterium. RNAcentral describes it as "tRNA-Arg". It matches the Rfam family "tRNA". From Rfam's summary of the family: Transfer RNA (tRNA) molecules are approximately 80 nucleotides in length. Lineage: Bacteria; Pseudomonadati; Pseudomonadota; Alphaproteobacteria; Rhodospirillales; Rhodospirillaceae. The record is from RNAcentral.
GCGCCCGUAGUUCAGCUGGAUAGAACGCCGGCCUACGAAGCCGGAAGUCGGGAGUUCGAAUCUCUCCGGGCGCG